Spinacia oleracea (spinach) is the source of this 654-nucleotide long non-coding RNA. RefSeq lists it as uncharacterized. The record is from RefSeq and is a predicted model, not a curated record. Lineage: Eukaryota; Viridiplantae; Streptophyta; Magnoliopsida; Caryophyllales; Amaranthaceae. The transcript is spliced from 2 exons.
UCUAAUGGCUAUACCAGGGUAUAGCCAUCUAUUGGUGUACUCCCUCCCAAAGAAAAUAAAAAAGUUAUAUAUACAUGUGCUUUCUUUAAAAAAAACUGCAUAUAAAUUUUUCAAAAACCAGAAAUCUCUCAUUUUUGUUUUCUCUCUCCUCAAUUUCUCUCUCCCCAAAAGUUUCUCUCUCCUCAUUUUUACGUGAUUUUUUUUCUCAAGUAACAAUGUCAAUCGGAAAAUCCGCUUACGUUUGCGCCGCCCUUAUCAUUCACGACAACGAAGUCGUUGCCACUAGCUCCUACAACAAUGAGGAAAUUGAAACCAUGAAGGUCAAAUAUUGUGUUUAAAUCACACUUCAUAAACACAUUCAGAAGUAUGAGAACUCAAGACUACAUCAAAAGCAAGAUUCAAGAUUGAAGAUAUAGAAAAAUAAGAGGAUGAUUUGUACCAGCAUCUUGUAAUUCAACUACAAUUUUACAUAGGCAAUGGCUAAAAUGUUCUUUUUUUGGUAAAAUAUGUUGUUUGACAUAAUUUCAUUGCACCUUAUAUGUAAAUAUAAUGCUCAAUGUAAUAACAUAGUAAUACAUUAACUAUGUUCAUUUGAAAAUUAGUAAAUACUCAUUUCACAAUCAAUAAUAUUCAUUUCUAAAUUAGUUGAACAAA